This 449-nucleotide ribosomal RNA is filed under the name uncultured bacterium. Its description in RNAcentral is "partial 16S ribosomal RNA". It matches the Rfam family "Bacterial small subunit ribosomal RNA", at positions 29 to 523 of the family's 1533-position model. The record is from RNAcentral.
AGCGAACGCUGGCGGCAGGCUUAACACAUGCAAGUCGAACGGUCACUUCGGUGCUAGUGGCAGACGGGUGAGUAACGCGUGGGAACGUGCCUUUCGGUUCGGAAUAAUCCAGGGAAACUUGGACUAAUACCGGAUACGCCCUUCGGGGGAAAGAUUUAUCGCCGAAAGAUCGGCCCGCGUCUGAUUAGCUAGUUGGUGAGGUAAAGGCUCACCAAGGCGACGAUCAGUAGCUGGUCUGAGAGGAUGAUCAGCCACAUUGGGACUGAGACACGGCCCAAACUCCUACGGGAGGCAGCAGUGGGGAAUAUUGGACAAUGGGCGCAAGCCUGAUCCAGCCAUGCCGCGUGAGUGAUGAAGGCCUUAGGGUUGUAAAGCUCUUUUGUCCGGGAAGAUAAUGACUGUACCGGAAGAAUAAGCCCCGGCUAACUUCGUGCCAGCAGCCGCCGCAG